RNAcentral lists this ribosomal RNA (383 nucleotides) under uncultured bacterium. RNAcentral describes it as "bacterial SSU rRNA". It matches the Rfam family "Bacterial small subunit ribosomal RNA", at positions 28 to 412 of the family's 1533-position model. The record is from RNAcentral.
GACGAACGCUGGCGGCGUGCUUAACACAUGCAAGUCGAGCGGUAAGGCCCUUUCGGGGGUACACGAGCGGCGAACGGGUGAGUAACACGUGGGUGACCUGCCCUUAGCUCUGGGAUAAGCCUGGGAAACUGGGUCUAAUACCGGAUAUGACUCCAUGACGCAUGUUGUGGGGUGGAAAGCCUUGUGCGGCUAGGGAUGGGCCCGCGGCCUAUCAGCUUGUUGGUGGGGUGAUGGCCUACCAAGGCGACGACGGGUAGCCGGCCUGAGAGGGCGACCGGCCACACUGGGACUGAGACACGGCCCAGACUCCUACGGGAGGCAGCAGUGGGGAAUCUUGCGCAAUGAGCGAAAGCUUGACGCAGCGACGCCGCGUGAGGGAAGAA